CUUGUAAUCCGACAACGCUGCAAUCCGCCAUAUUGAGAAAACCACACCCUUUUUUAACACUGUCUCUUAUGGAAGUAUUUUUUCAAAGUGUUUUUUCUCUAAACUGGAUAACAACUUCGACCAAAGAAAAAUAUUGAAAAAUACUACAUCAUUCAGGGCAUAUGGGGAUUGUUUACAUAUGUAGGACCCAAACAUAUUGUCAUGUGUGACCACGUAUUGGUGGAAAAUGCUGUAAUCCAUCUAUUCGACCUCUCAAGAAGAACUGGUGGUGUUUUUUAAAGCAUUCUUCUGUGGCAUUCCUUGUCGGAUAUGUAUUGUUUGGAUAGUUUAUUCAUAAAUAGAUUUUUUUGUGUUUCAAAUGAUUUGUAUUUGUUAGCAUUAUUAUUCAAAAAUAGAGAAUAUGGAUGAAUACAAAAUAAACACUUGGGAUGCUUCAUCAUCGUUGAGAAGUUGCUGUAAUCCUUGGAUAGUUGAAAUGAGUAAGUGGAAUUGUUUGCG
This 498-nucleotide long non-coding RNA is filed under the name Daphnia pulicaria. RNAcentral describes it as "uncharacterized LOC124342983". Lineage: Eukaryota; Metazoa; Arthropoda; Branchiopoda; Diplostraca; Daphniidae. The record is from RNAcentral.